AACGAACGCUGGCGGCAUGCCUAACACAUGCAAGUCGAACGAGACCUUCGGGUCUAGUGGCGCACGGGUGCGUAACGCGUGGGAACCUGCCCUUAGGUUCGGAAUAACUCCCCGAAAGGGGUGCUAAUACCGGAUAAUGUCUUCGGACCAAAGAUUUAUCGCCUUUGGAUGGGCCCGCGUUGGAUUAGCUAGUUGGUAGGGUAAAAGCCUACCAAGGCGACGAUCCAUAGCUGGUCUGUGAGGAUGAUCAGCCACACUGGGACUGAGACACGGCCCAGACUCCGACGGGGGGCAGCAGUGGAGAAUAUUGGACGAUGGGCGAAAGCCUGAUACAGCAAUGCGGCGUGAGUGAUGAAGGGGUUAGGGUUGUAAAGCUCUUUUACCCGGGAUGAGAAUGACAGUACCGGGAGAAUAAGCUCCGGCUAACUCCGUG
RNAcentral lists this ribosomal RNA (433 nucleotides) under uncultured bacterium. RNAcentral describes it as "partial 16S ribosomal RNA". It matches the Rfam family "Bacterial small subunit ribosomal RNA", at positions 29 to 507 of the family's 1533-position model. The record is from RNAcentral.